Molecule: ribosomal RNA, 427 nt
Filed under: uncultured bacterium
Lineage: Bacteria
Description: bacterial SSU rRNA
Rfam family: Bacterial small subunit ribosomal RNA
Source: RNAcentral
UGGGGAAUUUUGGACAAUGGGCGCAAGCCUGAUCCAGCAAUGCCGCGUGCAGGAUGAAGGCCUUCGGGUUGUAAACUGCUUUUGUACGGAGCGAAAAGGUCUGCCCUAAUACGGUGGGCUCAUGACGGUACCGUAAGAAUAAGCACCGGCUAACUACGUCCCAGCAGCCGCGGUAAUACGUAGGGUGCGAGCGUUAAUCGGAAUUACUGGGCGUAAAGCGUGCGCAGGCGGUUUUGUAAGACAGAGGUGAAAUCCCCGGGCUCAACCUGGGAAUUGCCUUUGUGACUGCAUAGCUAGAGUACGGUAGAGGGGGAUGGAAUUCCGCGUGUAGCAGUGAAAUGCGUAGAUAUGCGGAGGAACACCGAUGGCGAAGGCAAUCCCCUGGACCUGUACUGACGCUCAUGCACGAAAGCGUGGGGAGCAAACA